This 502-nucleotide ribosomal RNA is filed under the name uncultured bacterium. Its description in RNAcentral is "bacterial SSU rRNA". It matches the Rfam family "Bacterial small subunit ribosomal RNA", at positions 9 to 504 of the family's 1533-position model. The record is from RNAcentral.
GAGUUUGAUCCUGGCUCAGGUUGAACGCUGGCGGCAGGCCUAACACAUGCAAGUCGAGCGGUAGAGAGAAGCUUGCUUCUCUUGAGAGCGGGCGGACGGGUGAGUAAUGCCUAGGAAUCUGCCUGGUAGUGGGGGAUAACGCUCGGAAACGGACGCUAAUACCGCAUACGUCCUACGGGAGAAAGCAGGGGACCUUCGGGCCUUGCGCUAUCAGAUGAGCCUAGGUCGGAUUAGCUAGUUGGUGAGGUAAUGGCUCACCAAGGCGACGAUCCGUAACUGGUCUGAGAGGAUGAUCAGUCACACUGGAACUGAGACACGGUCCAGACUCCUACGGGAGGCAGCAGUGGGGAAUAUUGGACAAUGGGCGAAAGCCUGAUCCAGCCAUGCCGCGUGUGUGAAGAAGGUCUUCGGAUUGUAAAGCACUUUAAGUUGGGAGGAAGGGCAGUAAAUUAAUAACUUUGCUGUUUUGACGUUACCGACAGAAUAAGCACCGGCUAACUCU